AUGUGACACCACUGCACCCAGCCAAGCCCAAGAUUUAGAUUUGAAAGCCUAACCCUGCCCCUCCCUCUAUGUCUUUCCCCUCCUCCUCUUUUGUUCCUCUUUCUUUCAGGCCCUGGCACAGCUGUCUUGAGAACUAUUGAGGGGCUGGGAGAGGUGGCUUGCACCUUGUAACCCUAGCACUCUGGGAGGCUGAGAUGGGAGGAUUGUUUGAGCUCAGGAGUUUGAGACCAGCCUGAGCAACAGCGAGACCCCCAUCUCUACUAAAAUUAGAAAACUAAUGGGUUAAAAAAAAAACCAUGCUUUAAUUUAAAAAAAUGGUUCUAUUUAAUUUUUAAAAAUCAUGCUAUUUAAUUUUAAAAAACACAAACAAAAAACCCCCAAAACUGAUUGGGUGUGGUAGCGGGCACCUGUAGUCCCAGGUACUUGGGAGGGUGAGGCAAGAGGGUUGCUUGAGCCCAGGAGUUUGAGGUUGCUGUGAGUUACGACACUAUGGUACUCUAGCCUAGGACAAUAGAGUGAGACUCUGUCUCUCACACACACGCACACACACACAAAAAAAAAUGAGAGAGGGAGAAGUACUGUACGUAGGCCAAGAGAACAAGACACACCAUGGAUCUUUCCUGACCUGGGUUUUGGAGAUCUGGGCCCUGAAAGCAAGGAAUCUGGGAGGUCCUGGUGGAGGAAGUGGAACCAGAAGCAGGUCCCAAAGGAAGGCCUUGAACAGGUGGGCUGGAGUAGAAAGCCUGGUGCUCCCUGGGCUUUUGUUUGUUUGUUUUUAGACAGAAUCUCAAGCUGUUACCUUGGGUAGAGUGCCAUGGUGUCACAGCUCACAGCAACCUUCAACUCUUGGGUUUAAGCAAUUCACUUGUCUCAGCCUCCCAAAUAGCUGGGACUACAGGUGCCCGCCACAAUGCCAGGCUAUUUUUUGGUUACAGUUGUCAUUGUUGCUUUAGCUGGCCCGGGCUGGAUUUGAACCCAUCAGCCUCAGUGUAUGUGGUUGGCGCCCUACCCACUGAGCUACGGGUGCCACCCACCCUGGGCUUUUGGUGUACUCUGGAGUCUGUUGCAGAGGAUGGAAACAUUGGGAUUAAACCUAAGGUUUAUUGUUACUAUUUUUUAUUUUUGUUUAUUUUAUUGUUAUUGUUUUUUAGAGACAGGGUCUCACUUGAUUGCCCAGGCUGGAGUACAGUGGUGUAAGUGGUGUAAGCUCAAACUCCUGGGUUCAAAGGAUCCUCUGACCUGGGCCUCCUGAAUAGGUGAGAACACAGUAGCUGAGACUACAGUAGCUGAACCCACCAUACCUGGCUAAAUUUUUUUUUCGAGACAGAGUCUCACUUUGUCACUCUCAAUAGAGUGCUGUGGCAUUAUAGCUCACAGCAACCUCAAACCCCUGCCUCAGCCUCCCAAGUAGCUGGAACUAUAGGCAUUCCCCACAACACCUGGCUAUUUUUAGAGAUUAGGUCUCACUCUGGCUCAGGCUGGUCUUGAACCUGUGAGCUCAGGUAAUCCACCCAUCUUGGCUUCCCAGGGUGCUAGGAUUACAGAUGUAAGUCACCUUGCCCAGCCUGUUCUUGAACUUCUGACCUCAAGCAGUCCUCCCAUCUUGGGCUCCCAAAAUAAUGGGAUUACAGGUGUGAACCACGGCACCCAGCCAAGCCCAAGGUUUAGAUUUGAAAGGAACUAACUUCCCCCUCCUGUAGACACAACCUGUGCAAGUCCCUGAAUGACUCACAGAAGUGAGGAAAGACAUCCCAGGCCUGCCUGUGGCCCAUGUGAGACCAAUGUCAGAAUAUGUCUUUCAGUGAUUUACAGAGUCAACAGAAUGAGACUGCCUGGGACAAACAGGGAUACAGGAGGAGGGUGUUGCCAGCCCUAUUCCUGUGUGCACCCAGUUGCUGGAUGCAUCUCAAGAAGUUUUCUAAAUCUCCCUAUAGAGCAGUGUUUUUCAUCCUUUUUUAUCUCAUGGCACACUUGAACCUGUAUUUAGAAUUCCACAGCACACUUAAAUUAUGUUGGUCCAAAAAAGAGUAACUAAGGCUGGGUGUGGUGGCUCACAUCUGUAAUCCUAGCACUCUGGGAGGUUGAGGUGGGUAGAUUGCCCUGAGCUCACAGGUCGGAGAACAGCCUGAGCAAGAAUGAGACCCUAUCUCUAAAAAAAUGAAAAAGAAUAGCCAGGUGUUGUGGCGGACACCUGUAGUCCCAGCUACUUGGGAGGCUGAGAUAAGAGAAUCGCUUGACCCCAAGAGUUGGAUGUUGCUGUGAGCUAUGAUGCUACGGCACUCUACCCAGGGUGACAAAGUGAGACUCUGUCUCAAAAAAAAAAAAAUAAAAAAGAGUAAACAAAGGAUAUACUGUGCUUAGAACUUCUUUCGAACAUAACUUAAUUAAUGGUCUUUAAAAUUUUUCAUAGUACACCUAAGAUCCUCUCACGGCACACUGGUUGAAAAUCACUGCUCUAGAGGAAGUAAUUCACCUCUCCAUGGUCCUGCAUAGGGGCCAGUCUCUGGAAGCACCAACUACAAAUGUUCCUUACUCCACUCUGAUGACAAGGACUGGCCCAAGUGUGGACAGGGAAGCCAAGGGAAGGUGGAACCAUGCUGGCACUGUAAUGUUUCCAAGUACCACUUCAAUGGGUCUGUUUUGUCUUAGGCCAGUUAGAGAUGCCAAGAUAGGGUGGCAGGGAGCACCCUGGAUCUUGCUGUGGACACACAUGGGGCCUGAUCAUCAAAUGUGCCUCUGUAUUCCUAAGUUUUCCUGUUGAGGGAGGGACAGUCCAGUCCAGCUAGUGAGGCCUGAAGAGGGCUCCCUAGUCCUAUCUGCCACUUUUGGCCCAUUAUUUGUCACCCUCGGUAGAGUGCUAUGGUGUCACAGCUCAUAGCAACUUCAAACUCUUGGGCUUAAGUAAUUUUCUUGCCUCAGCCACCCAAGUAAGCUAGGAUGACAGGUGUCCGCCACCUGUUGCAGUUGUCAUUGUUGUUUAGCCGGGCCAGAUUCGAACCUGCCAGCCUUGGUGUAUGUGGCUAGCUCCCUACUCACUGAGCUACAGGUGCCAAGCCAUCAAAUGAUCCUCUUGCCUCAACCUCCCAAGUAGCUGGGACUACAGGUGCCCACCACAAUGCCUGGCUAUUUUCUUGAAGACAAGGUCUUGCUCUGGCUCAGGUCUCAAACUCAUGAGCUCAGGCAAUCCACCUGCCCAUUUUUUUUUUGAGACGUGGUCUUGCUUUAUCCUCUAGGCUGGAGUGCAGUGGCAUGAUCAUAGCUCACUAUAACCUUAAAUUCCUGGGCUCAAGUGAUUCUUUGCCACAACCUGCCUGGUAGCUGGAAUUAUGGGUAUGCUCCAUUACACUUGGCUAAUUUUUAAAAAUUUUUUGUAGAGAUGAGGUGUUGCUAUUUUGCUGAGGCUGGUCUUAAACUCCUGGGCUCAAGUGAUCCUCCCGCUUUGGUCUCCUAAAAGUGUUGAGAUUACAGGCAUGAGUCAACAUAUCUGGCUCCAAAUCACUUUUAAGUCCCUUUCAGGAAGAGAGAUUGGUCCUGACCAACCAAGGAGGCCUGGAGAGGGUUGGCUGAGUUUUUCCACAGCCCCACCUGGACCUUAUUUCAGGGGGCUCUGAAAAGGUUCCUAAGUUCCCUCCCUGACACUGGUGGUCACUAGCUCUAGCCAAAGAGGGAGACAGCAGAGGGUGCCUCAGUUCCAGUUGCCAUUCUGCAUGGGCCUCUGAUUGUGGGAUGUGCUCCCUAGAAAUAUCUGUAAGUUCUUGUAGGUAGGAUGGGAGAAAGGAAUGAGACCAAGCCAGCUAGGGAUGUCUAGGGAAUGUGUUGAGUGCCCAGGAAUCCAAAGACCACGCCAUCAUGCUAACCGAAUUAACAAAAGAGUCCUUUAUUUAAAAGCUGGCCAGCGACUGCCUCAUACUCAACACGGGUUCGGAGAGCAGCCCUGACUGCUUAAGGGGUUGGGUUUUUUUUUUGCAGUUUUUGGCCGGGGCUGGGUUUGAACCCACCACCUCUAGCAUUUGUGACUCUGCUGAGCCACAGGUGCCGCCCAAGAGGUUGGGUUUUUAAGGCUUGGUCUGCAUCCUGGUUGGCACACAGGCUGCCCAGGUGCAUCUGGGUUGGUUAGUAAGUAAUGUACGGAAGCAGAACUUUGCGGUUAGUUAGCCAUACACGUUUGUUUCAGUACUUUUCCCACCUGGUAUUUCUCAAAGGUCAGUCUGGGAACACUUGGUACUUCCCAGUCCGUUUCUCAGGGGAGUUAGUCAAGCAAGAAGUCAGUGAGUACUUUCCCAUCUGUCUUGGGAGUGAACCAGACUUACUCCAUUUUGUUGAGGGCUUGCGGCCCAGAAAUUUGCCAGGAAUUAACUGGUAUUUUUCCACCUUGGUCUAGGCGUAACAAGGGCAAUCUGGGUCUGCUUUCAGUCACACAUGGGGCCUGCUUGCCAGAUGCGCUCUCCAAAAAUUUUCUAAGUCACCCUAUAAAGUCCCCAAUCCCCGUGCCAAGGACCAUACUUGUCCAUGGCCUGGGAAGAAGUGGGCUGCACAGCAGGAGGUGAGCAGCUGGUGAGGGGACAAAGCUUCAUCUGUAUUUAUAGCUGUUUCCUAUCACUCGCAUCACUAAGGACCUGAGCUCUACCUCCUGUCACAUCAUUGGCUAUGUUAGAGUCUCAUAGGAGCUCAAACAUUCCUGCAGACUGUGUGUGCAAGAGAACUAAGUUGCAUAUGUCUUACAAGAAUUUAAUGUCCACUCCCAAUGGAAAAAUUGUCUUCCAUGAGAAUGGUCUCUGGUGCCUAAAAGGUUUGGGAAUGCUGCUCUAAAGAGAGGGAUCAUCUGGACUGGCCAGAGAGGCCCAAGGAGGCACCCUGAAAAUCUAGAAGGAGUGAGAAGUGGGGCCAGUGAGGGUGGUCUGGGGAAUGGGGCUGUUCCAUGGGAGAUACCAACAAUGUUUUAAAGUAUUCCUCUGAGAAACCAUCGUGCAGGCAGAGAAGAGGUCUUGGGAUGUCUCUGGCAGACGAUCUCUUAGCUGAUUUAGAAGAGGCAGCAGAAGAGGAAGGAGGAACCUAUGGAGGGGAAGAGGAGCCAGCGAUUGAGGAUGUUCAGGAAGAGACACAACUGGAUCUUUCUGGGGAUUCAGUCAAGAGCAUCGCAAACCUAUGGGACAGCAAGAUGUUUGCCGAGAUUGUGAUGAAGAUUGAGGAAUAUAUCAGCAAGCAAGCCAAAGAAAGCUUCAGAAGUGAUGGGGCCAGUGGAGGCAGCCCCUGAGUACCGGGUCAUUGUGGAUGCCAACAACCUGACUAUGGAGAUUGAGAAUGAGCUGAACAUUAUCCAUAAGUUUAUUCGGGAUAAGUACUUGAAGAGAUUUCCUGAGCUGGAGUCCUUGGUCCCCAAUGCACUGGAUUACAUCCGCAUGGUCAAGGAGCUGGGCAAUAGCCUGGACAAAUGCAAGAACAAUGAGAACCUGCAGCAGAUCCUGACCAAUGCCACCAUCAUGGUUGUCAGCGUCACUGCCUCCACCACUCAGGGGCAGCAGCUGUCAGAAGAGGAGCUGGAGUGGCUGGAGGAGGCCUGUGACAUGGCGCUGGAGCUGAAUGCCUCUAAGCACCGCAUCUAUGAGUACAUGGAGUCCCGCAUGUCCUUCAUUGUGCCCAGCUUGUCCAUCAUCAUUGGGGCAUCCACGGCUGCUAAGAUCAUGGGUGUGGCUGGUGGCCUCACCAAUCUCUCCAAGAUGCCUGCCUGCAACAUCAUGCUUCUUGGCACCCAGCGCAAGACACUGGCUUCUCACCUACCUCCGUGCUGUCCCACACUGGCUACAUCUACCACAGUGACAUCGUGCAAUUGCUGCCCCCGGAUCUCCGGCAGAAAGUAGCCAGGCUGGUGGCCGCCAAGUGUACGUUGGCGGCCCGUGUGGACAGUUUGUCCAUGAAGGGAAGGUGGGCUAUGAACUGAAGGAUGAGAUAGAGCGCAAAUUUGACAAGUGGCAGGAGCCGCCACCUGUGAAGCAGGUGAAGCCAUUGCCUGCACCCCUGGAUGGCCAGCGAAAGAAGCGAGGUGGCCGCAGGUACUGCAAGAUGAAGGAGCGGCUGGGGCUGACAGAGAUCCGGAAGCAGGCCAAUCGCAUGAGCUUCGGAGAGAUUGAGGAGGAUGCCUACCAGGAGGACCUGGGCUUCAGUCUGGGCCACCUAGGCAAGUCGGGGAGUGGGCGUGUGCGGCAGAAACAGGUGAACGAGGCCACCAAGGCCAGGAUCUCUAAGACACUGCAGCGUACCCUGCAGAAGCAGAGCAUGGCGUACGGUGGGAAGUCCACCAUCCGAGACCGUUCAUCGGGGACAGCCUCCAGUGUGGCUUUCACCUCACUCCAGGGCCUGGAGAUUGUGAACCCACAAGCAGCAGAGAAAAAGGUGGCUGAGGCCAACCAGAAGUACUUCUCCAGCAUGGCUGAGUUCCUUAAGGUCAAGAGUGAGAAAAGUAGCAUCAUGUCCACCUGAGUGGCUGUGCACAUCCAGGGUGGCUGCCCACAAAAGGGAAACAGAGGCCCAGCCUUUCUGAAGGGAUUGGGCCAGGGGGUUUGGCAGGGACAACCUGCCUUGCCCCACUGUGUGCCCCACCCAGUGCUGGCACCAUCGAGGAAGGCCUGGGAAGAAGCCCAGAUAGCCUCCCCCAGCACCAAGAUCACUGUCCCCCCAUUGAGGAAGCAGAGGUGGUUUUCGUCAUGCCUUGUCUUUUUUAACUGGAAAAGGAGAUGCUUUGGGAGGGUGUGGGGAGAGAAGAGUUCAAUUAAAACCACAUCAUCAAAAAAAA
Nycticebus coucang (slow loris) is the source of this 6790-nucleotide RNA transcript. Lineage: Eukaryota; Metazoa; Chordata; Mammalia; Primates; Lorisidae. The record is from RefSeq and is a predicted model, not a curated record.